CUCGAGUUACCGUCUUGCAGCAGCGCCGUCUUCUCUGCCGCCCGCAGACUCUCCAGCCAGCCGGUGACCGCCAUCUUCCCUCCAACGAGCCGCGUACCUGGCCACUGCCAUGGCAACCGUUCCGCCUAGGGACACUUCCGGAUGACCCGGAAGAUAUUCUGGGCAUUGGCCUGUUCCCACCCCGCGAACCCCGCGCCCUCCGUCUGCUCUCAUUGGCUGCUCUGCUGUGAGGCCAAGACUCCCCAGUCCCGGAAGGCGCCCCACACCUGCUGCAGUCGUGCGUCUCCCCGCAGCUGCGGGCCUGCGCGUUCCGGUGCCGAGAGGUCCAAGACCAGAGCAGAAAGGCUAGGGUCCAGCCAUACCUCAAUGGACCCCAAGGGCAUCUUGAAGGCAUUUCCCAAGCGGAAGAAAAUUCACACCAAUCCAUCAUCAAAAACUCUUGCCAAGAUUCCCAAGAGGGAAGACAGAGAAGCAGCAGGAGAGUGGCUGAGCUCCGUGCGGGUGCAUGUUCUGCCCACCGGCAUUGGGAGAGCCCGGGCAGAACUCUUUGAGAAUCAGAUUGUCCAGCAUGGUGGCCAGAUAUGCCCUGCUCAGGCCCCAGGGGUCACUCACAUUGUGGUGGAUGAAGGCAUGGACUGUGAGCGAGCCCUCCGCCUCCUUAGACUGCCCCAGCUGCCCCCAGGUGCUCAGCUGGUGAAGUCAGCCUGGCUGAGCUCGUGCCUACAGGAGAGAAGGCUGGUGGACACAGCAGGAUUCGGCAUCUUCACUCCCAAGAGGUACCUGGAUCAAGCACAGCUCAGCAAGGCAGACCAAGUCUCUUUUACGCCUCCUGGAGCCAGUGAGGCUCAGCCCAGGACAGCCCUGUCUCCUUCCCGACCUCCCACCAGACCUGUAUCUCCUUCCUGGAGGGCAGAUGCGGUUGCAAGCAUCCAAGCCCAGACCAGCUCUGAUGGUGAAAGCAGCGAUGGGGAAGAGACCCAGGUUAGCGCUGCUGAUCUGGAAGCCCUGAUCAGUGGCCGCUACCCCACCCCCUUUGAGGGAGAUGGUGAGCCUAGCCCAGCCCCCAAGGGCCUGGAUAAGUGGGUCUGUGCACAGCCUUCAAGCCAGAAGGCGAUCAACCACAACCCCCAUAUCACAGAGAAGCUGGAAGUACUGGCCAAAGCCUACAGCGUUCAGGGAGACAAGUGGAGGGCCCUGGGCUAUGCCAAGGCCAUCAAUGCCCUGAAGAGCUUCCACAAGCCCGUUACCUCCUACCAGGAGGCCUUUGGUAUCCCUGGGAUUGGAAAGCGGAUGGCUGAGAAGAUUGUCGAGAUCCUGGAGAGUGGGCAUCUGCGGAAGCUGGACCACAUCAGCGAAAGCGUGCCUGUCUUAGAGCUCUUCUCCAACAUCUGGGGAGCUGGAACCAAGACUGCCCAGAUGUGGUACCAUCAGGGUUUCCGGAGCUUAGAAGACAUCCGAAACCAGGCCUGUCUGACUACCCAGCAGGCCAUUGGCCUGAAGCAUUAUGAUGACUUCCUAGACCGCAUGCCCAGGGAGGAGGCCGCAGAGAUUGAGCAGACAGUGAGCAGGUGUCCCAGGGCAGUGAGGACGGCCACUGCUACAGGGCCAGGGCCCGGCUCAAAGCCAGGAACUCCUGAUCUCUCAUGGGGGAGCCCAGCAGGCAGAGGAAGCUGUGGGCCGCCAGAGACUGGAACUAGUGGGCAAAGAGCACGUUGGCUUAGGCAGGGAAGGGCUGCAGCACUAGCUGUGUGGGGUAGGGGUCUCAGUGUCAGGCAGAGUUAGCCCUGGCUUGGGUGCUAGGGUGGUGUUAGGACUGGGUUAAUGUCAGGGCUUGAUCAGAGCUGGAUUAUGGUCAGAACUACUUGAAGAUAUUGGGAUUUGAACUGGGCUAGGGUAGGAUUGAUCAGGGCAGAGGUUCUUAACAUUUUUUGACCCACAAACUUCUUUGAGAACCUAAUGAAAAUCAUGGACUCUUUUCUGUCCACAAUCUGUAAAAAUGCACAAAGUUGUAUAUCUCUUUUCGGAAGUACAUACCUUCUGCAGCCCUCUGAAGGCUGGUUCAAGGUUUGGGUUAGAAUUGGUGUAAAGGCACAGUGCCAGUAGGAUUAGGUUUGAGGUUGGAGGAAAGCUAGAUCCAGAGUCAAGUUAAGGUUAGACCUGAAUUAGUAGAGUUUUCUUAGUGUUGGAUGCUUUUAGUUAAAAUUUAUGAUUGUCCUAGAAAUAAGGUUUGGCCAAGAUAGGGUUUGGUUUAGAGUUGGGUUAGGGGUUAAAUUCGUGUAAAACCUAGAUUAGAGGGAGACUAGGGUACAUUUAGGGUGAGAUGUAUCAUUUGUUCAGCUGGCAUUAAGGUUAGGGGCUGGUUUGCUCACUAUGGCUAUGAUUCUAAUAUGGCAGGACUCCCUGGAGACUGGCCCAGCUUAGCUGAAAUCACCCUCCAGCUCUUCUCCCAGUCACAUGACUAUGAGGCUGGUGUGGGAUGGACAGGCAAGCGCCUUUGUCCACCCAUCACUGGGCCUUAGUGCCCGUGAUGACCUGUCACUCAGCCAUGGUAUCUGGGCACAGACAAUGCCCCAGCGAGCCUCCAGCCCCAACCCACUGGAACAGAAGGGCCCACUCUCCCCAUUUAAGUUCUCCAGCUUUAGGAGGUUUUGAUGGGAUUAUUCAUCCUAGGCCUCCUCCCACACUCUCAAGAAGGGGGUUGAGGGGAUUAGCAAAGCCUGCCUGUCAAGAGAAUUGAAGUAUCCAAGGUCCCAGAAAUCUCAGUGUCCUGUGGUGGAGACUGGGAAGCUAUCCGCAUACGAAAGGCCUCAGUGUUUCUGGUGUGGAGACUAAUGGGCUUAACCUCCCUCAGCCCCAUCCACUCAGUGCACCAUGAUCCCUCUGCCUCAGCUCCCUCCACACCGAGCCCCAUUCCUUCAAGUAAGGAUGUGGCCAUUGCUCAGAUUUCCCUCCCUCUUUGCUCUCUCCUUUCCUUCCCUACACAUGCAAUUAUAUUUCUGGGUUCUGUCUCCCCAGAGGCCUGGACCAGGGGCACCCUGCCAACCACCUGUCAGGCUUCAAGCCCCAACUCACACACUCUGCAUUUAGCUCUGAAUCCAGAGAUACCUGGGGCUGCUGAGACCUGGCUGAGGGCUCCUUGGCACCUGGCCCUCUGUAUUCAGUGGAGCUUCACACACCUGGGUGUAUGGGUUGGGGCAGACCCCAGAGAAGGCCGCACCCAGUGGUGUGAGCGCGUUUUCUUCUCUUCUGUCCCAGCAAGGCACUGCUCCCCAGGAUGGAUGGAGCUCCUCUUCUGUUCCUUGAAGCUCUCUCUCUCAGGCUGGACCUUGCAUCCAGGGAUUGGCUUGGAACCCAAGGGGUGUGUGGGCUCCUGGGACAGGGAAGGCCCACAGCCCUCACCCUCCUCACUGUCCUCUCCCAGGUCCGGAAAGCAGCUCAG
RNA transcript from Bubalus bubalis (water buffalo), 3439 nucleotides. It is a transcript of the gene named DNA polymerase lambda, with no coding region annotated. The record is from RefSeq and is a predicted model, not a curated record. The transcript has 9 exons. NCBI's taxonomy places the organism in Eukaryota, Metazoa, Chordata, Mammalia, Artiodactyla, Bovidae.